Molecule: ribosomal RNA, 163 nt
Filed under: uncultured bacterium
Lineage: Bacteria
Description: partial 16S rRNA
Rfam family: Bacterial small subunit ribosomal RNA
Source: RNAcentral
UAGGGAAUCUUCCACAAUGGGCGAAAGCCUGAUGGAGCAACGCCGCGUGUGUGAUGAAGGGUUCCGGCUCGUAAAACACUGUUGUAAGAGAAGAAUGACAUUGAGAGUAACUGUUCAAUGUGUGACGGUAUCUUACCAGAAAGGAACGGCUAAAUACGUGCAG